RNAcentral lists this ribosomal RNA (594 nucleotides) under Triticum aestivum (bread wheat). RNAcentral describes it as "partial small subunit ribosomal RNA". The record is from RNAcentral. Lineage: Eukaryota; Viridiplantae; Streptophyta; Magnoliopsida; Poales; Poaceae.
AUGGCGAUCUGCCGCGUGCACACAACCAAACCGUUCUCAAGGGAAUCGUUCUACACACAUAUGAGGGCGGUGUGGAGUCUAGCACAGGACGUGAACUUCAAGCCGGUGGGCGAGAACUUGUUCGUCCUCACUGUUAAUUGUCUAGGAGAUUGGAGGAGAGUUACUGAACAGGGUCCGUGGCUUUUCCGGGAUAAUGGUGUUCUGAUUGAGCCGUAUGAUGGUUUUCAGAAGUUGGACCUGGUAAUUCUUGAUAAGAUCUCUGUCUGGAUACAAAUCCAAAACCUACCCCCCGGAUAUAGGAGGAAGGAGGUCCUCGAAGCAUGGUGUAGGAGAGUUGGGGAGGUUAUGUACGUCAAUCUCUCUCCCCGCAGGGAUGGGAAGUCUGUACGAGUUAGGGUAAAACUUGAUGCAAACAAGCCCCUGACUAGGUUUCUGUCGAUCACAAAGAAUGAAGAAAAGGUGUUCUACCAAGUGUUCUAUGAAAAAAUUCCUAAGUUCUGUUUCUUUUGUGGUCUUCUAGGACACACACACCUAGAACAUGGCAAUGGCAAGCAUGACCCGAAAGAUCUGAACUGGGGCGUGAUUGGCUACUAG